AAACGAUGCCAACUAGCGAUCCGCCGGUGGAUUUUUAGCCCUGGUGGGUAGCUUCCCGGAAACGAAAGUCUUCCGGUUCCGGGGGAAGUAUGGUUGCAAAGCUGAAACUUAAAGGAAUUGACGGAAGGGCACCACCAGGAGUGGAGCCUGCGGCUUAAUUUGACUCAACACGGGGAAACUCACCCGGCCCGGACACCGUAAGGAUUGACAGAUUGAUAGCUCUUUCAUGAUUCGGUGGUUGGUGGUGCAUGGCCGUUCUUAGUUCGUGGAUCGAUUUGUCUGGUUUAUUCCGAUAACGAGCGAGACUCUAGCCUACUAAAUAGUAACGAGAUUAUCAAUGUCUCAGUUGCUUCUUAGAGGGAUUUUCGGUGUUUAGCCGCACGAGAUUGAGCAAUAACAGGUCUGUGAUGCCCUUAGAUGUCCGGGGCUGCACGCGCGCUACACUGGCGAAAUCAGCGUGCUGUAUCCAUUCUCGAAAGGGAUUGGUAAACCCAUGAAAAUUUGCCGUGCUUGGGAUCGGAAAUUGCAAUUAUUUUCCGUGAACGAGGAAUUCCAAGUAAGUGCGAGUCAUCAACUCGCUCUG
RNAcentral lists this ribosomal RNA (583 nucleotides) under Cephalobidae environmental sample. RNAcentral describes it as "SSU rRNA". It matches the Rfam family "Eukaryotic small subunit ribosomal RNA", at positions 1034 to 1643 of the family's 1831-position model. Lineage: Eukaryota; Metazoa; Nematoda; Chromadorea; Rhabditida; Cephalobidae. The record is from RNAcentral.